Vicugna pacos (alpaca) is the source of this 397-nucleotide non-coding RNA. The record is from RefSeq and is a predicted model, not a curated record. NCBI's taxonomy places the organism in Eukaryota, Metazoa, Chordata, Mammalia, Artiodactyla, Camelidae.
UUUAACCAUAAUAUUCAUGACAUAUAAACCAAAUUUUAGAGAUGAGAAAUAAGCUCAAAGACAAUUAUAAAAAGGAAAUUUGAUUUUACAAAGAUCAAAUAGAUAAAAGUAAUCCUCACAUUUAAAAAAAUUCACGCAUCACACAUCCCCUGAAUCACCCACCUCAGUUCCUCCAGGGCUCUUAUAUUAGACAACAGCUUCCUCUUCUUAAAAGCAACUGCCAUCCAUUAGACUCAAAGGAGUCCAGAGCUUUUAAUACUUCAGCUAUAUUACAAGUUUUAAAAGGCAGUUGUGUACAUGUACGGGAACAAGGGGUAUAUAGGAACUUUGUACUUUCCACUCAAUUUUUCUGUGAACCUAAACUGCUCUUUAAAAAAAUGAAGAAAAGUUUUUAAAA